Molecule: ribosomal RNA, 362 nt
Filed under: Escherichia coli
Lineage: Bacteria; Pseudomonadati; Pseudomonadota; Gammaproteobacteria; Enterobacterales; Enterobacteriaceae
Description: partial 23S ribosomal RNA
Rfam family: Bacterial large subunit ribosomal RNA
Source: RNAcentral
GGGAGUCAGAACAUGGGUGAUAAGGUCCGUGUUCGAAAGGGAAACAGCCCAGACCACCAGCUAAGGUCCCAAAAUAUAUGUUAAGUGGAAAAGGAUGUGGCGUUGCCCAGACAACUAGGAUGUUGGCUUAGAAGCAGCCAUCAUUUAAAGAGUGCGUAAUAGCUCACUAGUCGAGUGACACUGCGCCGAAAAUGUACCGGGGCUAAACAUAUUACCGAAGCUGUGGAUUGUCCUUUGGACAAUGGUAGGAGAGCGUUCUAAGGGCGUUGAAGCAUGAUCGUAAGGACAUGUGGAGCGCUUAGAAGUGAGAAUGCCGGUGUGAGUAGCGAAAGACGGGUGAGAAUCCCGUCCACCGAUUGACU